This 1197-nucleotide ribosomal RNA is filed under the name Noctiluca scintillans. RNAcentral's name for it is "SSU rRNA". It matches the Rfam family "Eukaryotic small subunit ribosomal RNA", at positions 682 to 1773 of the family's 1831-position model. Lineage: Eukaryota; Dinophyceae; Noctilucales; Noctilucaceae. The record is from RNAcentral.
GCAGACCAGUCCGUUCCACUAGCGGUCUACACCAUAUGUCGAUGGUUAGCACUCCGUGCAAACUCUCACUAUUUAUCGCGCAGAAACCGUCUGAGAGAUUCUCCGCCACCAAAUACAUCUCCGUCACUGUCGACGCGGCUAAAUUGGGCAUCUUUUCCGAAGACUGUAUCUGCACUUCAUUGUGUGGAGCGGUAUUCGGAACCUUUACUUUGAGGAAAUUAGAGUGUUUCAGGCAUGCGCUUGUGGUGAAUACAUUAGCAUGGAAUAAUAAGCUCCGCCUCGUGGUAGCCACUAACGGUUACUCAUAAUAGGCACUAGUGCGUGCGGCAUACUAUCUAUCGUCAGUAGGCGCGCAACUCCGACUUCGCUAUUAAUGAUCGAAUAUCGCGAAAGCAUUCGCUCCACGGAUGUUUUUCAUUGAUCAAGAACGAAAGUUAGGGGAUCGAAGACGAUCAGAUCCGUCGUAGUCUUACCAUAAAUCAUGCCGACUAGAGAUUGGGGGUCGUUAGCUCUAUGACUCCUCAGCACCUUACUGAGAAAUCAAAGUUUUUGGGUUCUGGGGGUAGUAUGGUCGCAAGGCUGAAACUUAAAGGAAUGACGGGACGGCACCACCAGGAGUGGAGCCUGCGGCUUAAUUUGACUCAACACGGGAAAUCUCACCAGGUCCAGACAUAGUAAGGAUCGACAGAUUGAUAGCUCUUUCUUGAUUCUAUGGGUGGUGGCUGCAUGCCGUUCUUAGUUGGUGGAGUGAUUUGUCUGGUUAAUUCCGUUAACGAACGAGACCUUAGCCUGCUAAAUAGUGUCAAGUAUGAUUCUUAUUUGAUUACUUCUUAGAGGGACUUUGUGUGUCUAACGCAAGGAAGUUUGAGCGCAAUAACAGGUCUGUGAUGCCCUGAGAUGUUCUGGGCUGCACGCGCGCUACACUGAUGCAUUCAACGAGUUUAUAACCUUGCCUGAAAAGGUUGGGUAAUCUGCAAUGCGCAUCGUGAUGGGGAUAGAUUACUAGCAAUUAUUAAUCUUCACCGAGGAAUUCCUAGUAAGCGCGAGUCAUCAGCUCGUGCAUGAUUACGUCCCUCGCCCUUCGUACACACCGCCCGUCGCUCCUACCGAGUGAGUGAAUCGGUGAAUAAGCUCGGAGACUGAUGCACGGUCAGCUCACGCUAGCAUCAUGUCUCUGGAAGACGGACGCGACUCACU